GUUGUCUUUAGAAUAAUUUUGAAGAAUGUUUUCGGGAAAUUUUAGUUAAUAUGUCAAAUCAAGGUGCAGCUAUAUUUAGGGGUGAUUGGGUUACAAUAUAUAAAAUAAACAAAUUAUUAAGUGAAAUAUAAUAUGAAGGUGGAUUUAAUUGUAAAAUAUUUUUAAUAAGAAUUUUUGAAGCAGUACUGAAAU
Molecule: ribosomal RNA, 192 nt
Filed under: Holoscotolemon jaqueti
Lineage: Eukaryota; Metazoa; Arthropoda; Arachnida; Opiliones; Cladonychiidae
Description: partial 12S ribosomal RNA
Source: RNAcentral